AGGUAGACGAGCAGCAUACGGCCCACCUGAUGGUGAGGGGCAGAGCCAAGCCGCUGCCUACCGUUGAGUACUCUCCACAAGCCUCAGCUCAAGUACGCGGAAUAACAAGUAUACAAGAUAAUAAAAAGCCUCACCAGUAAGCCAAAUUGAAAAUGGCGAAAACAAGAGGAAACGUGAUCCUGGAGAUGACGUCGAUCCUCUUGGAGCGCGUGGGAAACUUGGACAUCCAGAGCCGGCAGCAGUUCUUCCUGGGCUGGCUGAUGUGGAUCUCGCACUGCCGCAUCUUAGUGUCCACGCCACCGCGGACCAGAGGUUUCUGUUAGUUGCAGACCAGUCAGGGAGAACGAACAUAAUAUAUUUCCAGAAUACUA
Bombyx mori (domestic silkworm) is the source of this 371-nucleotide long non-coding RNA. RefSeq lists it as uncharacterized. The record is from RefSeq and is a predicted model, not a curated record. Lineage: Eukaryota; Metazoa; Arthropoda; Insecta; Lepidoptera; Bombycidae. The transcript has 2 exons.